CGCUCGCGGACCUUUCUGCCACUCUGUCACCCGCCCCCGGCUCCAGUACUGCCCCUUCGACUGCGCUGGUAUGAAAGUUGGUAACUCCGUCCUUAAAGCCGCCGUUAGGCAUCUCAGACCAGCCUUGGUGGAGAAAGUAAGUUAACAGGCCUGAAGGAGCCACCGAGUUACCAAACAGACGCCAGCUGCUGAGAGUAAGGGCAGAAGAGGACAGACGGCCGUUUGUCCGUGGCAUCAAGUACUAAAGAAGGACGUCCGGAUGUGUAUCCAAAUGUGAUCAGUGUGAAUUCAGUCCAGCCCCACUGCCGUGGCUAUUUUGUCUGCGGGAAGUGUCUCACGAUGCGCGUGUUUCAAGACUAUGUGGAUGGUCUCGUAGACCAGCAAGUGACUUUUGCAAUCCAGCCCCUCGACUGUCUUUCCAUUUGUGAGCUCUGGAUGCGGUACAGGGCAUAUGCAGGGAUUGUGCGGAGAUGUGAGCUCGUGCUUCCUGCCACGCACAGACUGCGGCAGGUGAUGACAUGGAGACUGCAAGAAGAUGCACCCAAUUCAGGACAGCUGUUGCCUACGUGGAAGGAGGGAAACCAGACUGAGGAGGGAAGAAUGAGGACUUGAACUUUACCUCCAGUGUGUUACUUCUUGUAUUUAAAAAAGCGAUGCAGAACUGUCAAAACCUUAAAAUUUGUUGAUUCCGGGCAAGUAGGUUCAAUCAUGCGUGCUGUGUUAUCUUUGUGCCUUUCUUUGAAAAAAAUCUUAUGAAAAUUUUCAAAUAUAUAUGGGAAGCAAA
Molecule: long non-coding RNA, 784 nt
Organism: Herpailurus yagouaroundi (jaguarundi)
Lineage: Eukaryota; Metazoa; Chordata; Mammalia; Carnivora; Felidae
Exons: 2
Source: RefSeq, a predicted model, not a curated record